Molecule: long non-coding RNA, 226 nt
Organism: Eurytemora carolleeae
Lineage: Eukaryota; Metazoa; Arthropoda; Copepoda; Calanoida; Temoridae
Exons: 2
Source: RefSeq, a predicted model, not a curated record
AUAAUUACCUUUUCACCGGUACUCCGCAGUUCAAAGGUCCUUUGUACAGCCAAGUGCAGGGGAAAUGCUGUACGACUCUGUACACUAGAAUCCUGUACAUGAUGUAAGGGUUUUACAUGAUCAUGUCGAAGUCCAGCUAUAACUUGGAUAAUGAUAUUCAGGUGUACGGUACGGUAGGGAGGUUUACUCCUGGCUGGUAUGGAGAAGAUGGUAUACAAAAUAACAG